This 464-nucleotide ribosomal RNA is filed under the name Ruegeria sp. 1S45. RNAcentral's name for it is "bacterial SSU rRNA". It matches the Rfam family "Bacterial small subunit ribosomal RNA", at positions 389 to 877 of the family's 1533-position model. The record is from RNAcentral. Lineage: Bacteria; Pseudomonadati; Pseudomonadota; Alphaproteobacteria; Rhodobacterales; Roseobacteraceae.
CAGCCAUGCCGCGUGAGUGAUGAAGGCCCUAGGGUCGUAAAGCUUCGCCUGUGAAGAUAAUGACGGUAGCAGGUAAAGAAACCCCGGCUAACUCCGUGCCAGCAGCCGCGGUAAUACGGAGGGGGUUAGCGUUGUUCGGAAUUACUGGGCGUAAAGCGCACGUAGGCGGAUCGGAAAGUUGGGGGUGAAAUCCCGGGGCUCAACCCCGGAACUGCCUCCAAAACUAUCGGUCUAGAGUUCGAGAGAGGUGAGUGGAAUUCCGAGUGUAGAGGUGAAAUUCGUAGAUAUUCGGAGGAACACCAGUGGCGAAGGCGGCUCACUGGCUCGAUACUGACGCUGAGGUGCGAAAGUGUGGGGAGCAAACAGGAUUAGAUACCCUGGUAGUCCACACCGUAAACGAUGAAUGCCGUCUCGGGUAGCAUGCUAUUCGGUGACACACCUAACGGAUAAGCAUUCCGCCUGGG